Molecule: non-coding RNA, 107 nt
Organism: Acanthosepion pharaonis
Lineage: Eukaryota; Metazoa; Mollusca; Cephalopoda; Sepiida; Sepiidae
Source: the annotation of a GenBank genome assembly
UUACGCCCAUAUCACGUUGAAACAUCGGUUUCCGUAUGAUCACCGAAUUUAAGCAACGUCGAACCUGGUCAGUACGUAGAUGGGUGACAGUUUCGGAAUACCAAGUG